GACGAACGCCGGCGGCGUGCUUAACACAUGCAAGUCGAACGGUAAGGCCCUUCGGGGUACACGAGUGGCGAACGGGUGAGUAACACGUGGGUGAUCUGCCCUGCACUUCGGGAUAAGCCUGGGAAACUGGGUCUAAUACCGGAUAGGACCACUGCCUGCAUGGGUGGUGGUGGAAAGCUUUUGCGGUGUGGGAUGGGCCCGCGGCCUAUCAGCUUGUUGGUGGGGUGAUGGCCUACCAAGGCGACGACGGGUAGCCGGCCGGAGAGGGUGACCGGCCACACUGGGACUGGGAUACGGCCCAGACUCCUACGGGAGGCAGCAGUGGGGAAUAUUGCUCAAUGGGCGCAAGCCUGAUGCAGCGACGCCGCGUGAGGGAUGACGGCCUUCGGGUUGUAAACCUCUUUCAGCACCGACGAAGCGCAAGUGACGGUAGGUGCAGAAGAAGGACCGGCCAACUACGUGCCAGCCGCCGCGGUAA
This 478-nucleotide ribosomal RNA is filed under the name uncultured bacterium. Its description in RNAcentral is "partial 16S ribosomal RNA". It matches the Rfam family "Bacterial small subunit ribosomal RNA", at positions 28 to 523 of the family's 1533-position model. The record is from RNAcentral.